This 253-nucleotide ribosomal RNA is filed under the name uncultured bacterium. RNAcentral's name for it is "partial 16S ribosomal RNA". It matches the Rfam family "Bacterial small subunit ribosomal RNA", at positions 524 to 776 of the family's 1533-position model. The record is from RNAcentral.
UACAGAGGUCCCAAGCGUUGUUCGGAUUCAUUGGGCGUAAAGGGUGCGUAGGCGGUUUGUCGCGUCGAAUGUGAAAACCCGGGGCUCAACCCCGGGCCUGCAUUCGAUACGGGCAGACUAGAGUUCGGUAGGGGAGUCUGGAAUUCCUGGUGUAGCGGUGAAAUGCGCAGAUAUCAGGAGGAACACCGGUGGCGAAGGCGGGACUCUGGGCCGAUACUGACGCUGAGGAGCGAAAGCGUGGGGAGCAAACAGG